CACCGAAGCUGCGGCAGCGACGCUGAUGCGUUGUUGGGUAGGGGAGCGUUCUGUAAGCCUGCGAAGGUGGCCUGUGAGGGUUGCUGGAGGUAUCAGAAGUGCGAAUGCUGACAUAAGUAACGAUAAAGCGGGUGAAAAGCCCGCUCGCCGGAAGACCAAGGGUUCCUGUCCAACGUUAAUCGGGGCAGGGUGAGUCGACCCCUAAGGCGAGGCCGAAAGGCGUAGUCGAUGGGAAACGGGUUAAUAUUCCCGUACUUGGUGUUACUGCGAAGGGGGGACGGAGAAGGCUAUGUUGGCCGGGCGACGGUUGUCCCGGUUUAAGCGUGUAGGUGUGUGUUCCAGGUAAAUCCGGUUCACUUUAACACUGAGGCGUGAUGACGAGGCACUACGGUGCUGAAGCAACAAAUGCCCUGCUUCCAGGAAAAGCCUCUAAGCAUCAGGUAACAUCAAAUCGUACCCCAAACCGACACAGGUGGUCAGGUAGAGAAUACCAAGGCGCUUGAGAGAACUCGGGUGAAGGAACUAGGCAAAAUGGUGCCGUAACUUCGGGAGAAGGCACGCUGACACGUAGGUGAAGUGAUUUACUCAUGGAGCUGAAGUCAGUCGAAGAUACCAGCUGGCUGCAACUGUUUAUUAAAAACACAGCACUGUGCAAACACGAAAGUGGACGUAUACGGUGUGACGCCUGCCCGGUGCCGGAAGGUUAAUUGAUGGGGUCAGCGCAAGCGAAGCUCCUGAUCGAAGCCCCGGUAAACGGCGGCCGUAACUAUAACGGUCCUAAGGUAGCGAAAUUCCUUGUCGGGUAAGUUCCGACCUGCACGAAUGGCGUAAUGAUGGCCAGGCUGUCUCCACCCGAGACUCAGUGAAAUUGAACUCGCUGUGAAGAUGCAGUGUACCCGCGGCAAGACGGAAAGACCCCGUGAACCUUUACUAUAGCUUGACACUGAACAUUGAGCCUUGAUGUGUAGGAUAGGUGGGAGGCUUUGAAGUGUGGACGCCAGUCUGCAUGGAGCCGGCCUUGAAAUACCACCCUUUAAUGUUUGAUGUUCUAACGUGGACCCGUGAUCCGGGUUGCGGACAGUGUCUGGUGGGUAGUUUGACUGGGGCGGUCUCCUCCUAAAGAGUAACGGAGGAGCACGAAGGUUGGCUAAUCCUGGUCGGACAUCAGGAGGUUAGUGCAAUGGCAUAAGCCAGCUUGACUGCGAGCGUGACGGCGCGAGCAGGUGCGAAAGCAGGUCAUAGUGAUCCGGUGGUUCUGAAUGGAAGGGCCAUCGCUCAACGGAUAAAAGGUACUCCGGGGAUAACAGGCUGAUACCGCCCAAGAGUUCAUAUCGACGGCGGUGUUUGGCACCUCGAUGUCGGCUCAUCACAUCCUGGGGCUGAAGUAGGUCCCAAGGGUAUGGCUGUUCGCCAUUUAAAGUGGUACGCGAGCUGGGUUUAGAACGUCGUGAGACAGUUCGGUCCCUAUCUGCCGUGGGCGCUGGAGAACUGAGGGGGGCUGCUCCUAGUACGAGAGGACCGGAGUGGACGCAUCACUGGUGUUCGGGUUGUCAUGCCAAUGGCACUGCCCGGUAGCUAAAUGCGGAAGAGAUAAGUGCUGAAAGCAUCUAAGCACGAAACUUGCCCCGAGAUGAGUUCUCCCUGAGACUUAGAGUCUCCUGAAGGAACGUUGAAGACGACGACGUUGAUAGGCCGGGUGUGUAAGCGCAGCGAUGCGUUGAGCUAACCGGUACUAAUGAACCGUGAGGCUUAACCUUACA
Molecule: ribosomal RNA, 1760 nt
Filed under: Salmonella enterica subsp. enterica serovar Give
Lineage: Bacteria; Pseudomonadati; Pseudomonadota; Gammaproteobacteria; Enterobacterales; Enterobacteriaceae
Description: partial 23S ribosomal RNA
Rfam family: Bacterial large subunit ribosomal RNA
Source: RNAcentral